Molecule: ribosomal RNA, 245 nt
Filed under: uncultured Glomus
Lineage: Eukaryota; Fungi; Glomeromycota; Glomeromycetes; Glomerales; Glomeraceae
Description: partial 18S ribosomal RNA
Rfam family: Eukaryotic small subunit ribosomal RNA (bases 91-245)
Source: RNAcentral
GGAUCAAUUUGCUGGUCGAGACCUCUGGUACGUACUGGUAUUAUUGAUUUCUUUCAUUCUGAUAGAUCAUUGAUGUCAUUAAUUUGAUGACUUUGAGGAAUCGGAACUUUUACUUUGAAAAAAUUAGAGUGUUUAAAGCAGGCUUAUUAGGCUUGAAUACAUUAGCAUGGAAUAAUGAAAUAGGACGAUUGAUCCUAUUUUUGUUGGUUUCUAGGAUUGACGUAAUGAUUAAUAGGGAUAGUUGG